AUGACGCUGCUGCCGGCGCGGCUGCUGCACGCGCGCGGCAAGACCACCGCGGCCCAGCACGUGGCGGCGCGGCAUCUCGACCACACAUUCGAGAAGCUCGUGGCCUCCAGCCUCCCGCUCGUGGCGGCGUCGCCGCUGCUCGAUGCGCUCCGGGCGUCGCCCGAGCCGCUCGCGCUCCCGGACCUCGCCCGCCGCCUCCCUCUCCGCCUCCACCGCCGCGGCCCACUCCACUUUCUCCGCCUCUUCCCGCGCGUCUUCGACCUCCGCCCCCCUCUCCCGCUCUCCCUAUCGCUCACCGCGCCUGCCGCCUCACUCCUUGCGGUCGCAUCCUCCCCCGACGCGGCCGCGCGGAUGCUCCACCGCCUCCUCGCCAUGUCCGCAUCCCGCUCCGUCCCUCUUCGCGCCGUGUUCCGCGUCUGGCGCGAGCUCGCUCUGCCCGACGACUUCGAGGAUUCCGUCGUCGCGCAGCAUCCCCACCUCUUCCGCCUCUCCCCCAAUCCCGCCGAGCCCAGAACCCACGUUCUACACCUUGUCGCGGAUCCGACGAAGGGGGAUUUCACUCCGGCGGUGGAUAAGAACCGGCCGGAGAAGUACGCUUUCCAGCUGCAGUUCCCGCCAGGGUUCAGGUUGACCAAGGAGUACCGGAAGAAGGUGAAGGAGUGGCAGCUGCUGCCAUAUGUUGGACCGUACGAGGUAGUGGAGCAGAGGAUUGGCGCGAGCAAGAGGGUAUCGAAGAUGGCGAGGAGGAAGAUGGAGAAGAGGGCAGUCGGAAUUGCACACGAGUUUCUGAGCUUGACAGUGGAGAAGAUGGUGGAGGUGGAGAAGUUCAGUCAGUUCCGUAAGUGGUUUGGGAUCGACGUGAAUGUCAGGGACGUAUUCUUGGAUCAUCCUGGGAUAUUUUACCUCUCGGCAAAGGGAAAGCGGCAUACGGUGUUCCUGCGGGAAGCAUAUGAUCGUGGCAAGCUUGUUGAGCCUAAUGAUGUUUCAGAGGCACGAAGAAAGCUUGUUGAGCUCAUGCUCUUGCGUCGCCAUGGCCUUGGGAACGCCAAUUCUAAUGCCAACAUGUCUUCAAAUGGCAAUGCCGGUGCCAAAGAGAGCGAUGACGAUUUACAGGAACUGGAGCUCUAG
RNAcentral lists this ribosomal RNA (1128 nucleotides) under Triticum aestivum (bread wheat). RNAcentral's name for it is "partial small subunit ribosomal RNA". The record is from RNAcentral. Lineage: Eukaryota; Viridiplantae; Streptophyta; Magnoliopsida; Poales; Poaceae.